RNAcentral lists this transfer RNA (77 nucleotides) under Vibrio hangzhouensis. Its description in RNAcentral is "tRNA-Pro". It matches the Rfam family "tRNA". Rfam says of the family: Transfer RNA (tRNA) molecules are approximately 80 nucleotides in length. Their secondary structure includes four short double-helical elements and three loops (D, anti-codon, and T loops). The record is from RNAcentral. Lineage: Bacteria; Pseudomonadati; Pseudomonadota; Gammaproteobacteria; Vibrionales; Vibrionaceae. RNAcentral also lists the same sequence under 7 other names.
CGGGGCGUGGCGCAGUCUGGUAGCGCACCUCGUUCGGGACGAGGGGGUCGGAGGUUCAAAUCCUCUCGCCCCGACCA